GUCUAUCCUAGCUUUCAGAUGUUUCCCUUCAGGCCCCUUGCUUUGCCGUGCAAAUUCCUGGAAUAGUCAUGUGGUGGUUGUUGUCGUCAAAGAGCUCAUACAAUCCUGACUCAGAGCUGCGAUAGAUUCAAGGCUAACUCCCUUUUCUUGUUGUAGAUAUCAAUCAGAUCUUUAUUAAGGUCACAGACCAGCAUAAGGAGAGCGGAAUAUAAACAAUAAUUUUUAAAAGGCUAAAAAUAUUAUAUAUACCUACGCAAACACCCACACACAGCAGCAUAAGGAGGAUGGCAUUCGCAGGAUUAAAAAAAGUAUAAAAGAUCAAAGUCUAAUUUAAAAAACAGCUAACAAUAUGGAAAAAAAAACUUCAAAACAGUCUCUAAAAAUCUAGAGGGAGAGGCACUGGAAAAGUACGUGCUGUGUUGCUCCUGCGAGUCCGGAGUUACAUUGUCUCUCUGGUUCGAGUGCGGCAGGUGUACAGUAGCCACCUCUUGAGUAGUUUGAGGAUGACAUUUUCAGCAGUGUAUUCUCC
Molecule: long non-coding RNA, 529 nt
Organism: Ahaetulla prasina
Lineage: Eukaryota; Metazoa; Chordata; Lepidosauria; Squamata; Colubridae
Exons: 3
Source: RefSeq, a predicted model, not a curated record